GGCGGCAGGGCUAACACAUGCAAGUCGAGCGGCAGCGGGGGGAAGCUUGCUUCCCCGCCGGCGAGCGGCGGACGGGUGAGUAAUGUCUGGGGAUCUGCCUGAUGGAGGGGGAUAACUACUGGAAACGGUAGCUAAUACCGCAUAACGUCGCAAGACCAAAGUGGGGGACCUUCGGGCCUCACGCCAUCGGAUGAACCCAGAUGGGAUUAGCUAGUAGGUGAGGUAACGGCUCACCUAGGCGACGAUCCCUAGCUGGUCUGAGAGGAUGACCAGCCACACUGGAACUGAGACACGGUCCAGACUCCUACGGGAGGCAGCAGUGGGGAAUAUUGCACAAUGGGGGAAACCCUGAUGCAGCCAUGCCGCGUGUGUGAAGAAGGCCUUCGGGUUGUAAAGCACUUUCAGCGGGGAGGAAGGGGACAAGGUUAAUAACCUUGUUCAUUGACGUUACCCGCAGAAGAAGCACCGGCUAACUCCGUGCCAGCAGCCGCGGUAAUACGGAGGGUGCAAGCGUUAAUCGGAAUGACUGGGCGUAAAGCGCACGCAGGCGGUCUGUUAAGUUGGAUGUGAAAUCCCCGGGCUUAACCUGGGAACUGCAUUCAAAACUGACAGGCUAGAGUCUCGUAGAGGGGGGUAGAAUUCCAGGUGUAGCGGUGAAAUGCGUAGAGAUCUGGAGGAAUACCGGUGGCGAAGGCGGCCCCCUGGACGAAGACUGACGCUCAGGUGCGAAAGCGUGGGGAGCAAACAGGAUUAGAUACCCUGGUAGUCCACGCUGUAAACGAUGUCGAUUUGGAGGUUGUGCCCUUGAGGCGUGGCUUCCGGAGCUAACGCGUUAAAUCGACCGCCUGGGGAGUACGGCCGCAAGGUUAAAACUCAAAUGAAUUGACGGGGGCCCGCACAAGCGGUGGAGCAUGUGGUUUAAUUCGAUGCAACGCGAAGAACCUUACCUACUCUUGACAUCCAGCGAACCCUGUAGAGAUGCGGGGGUGCCUUCGGGAACGCUGAGACAGGUGCUGCAUGGCUGUCGUCAGCUCGUGUUGUGAAAUGUUGGGUUAAGUCCCGCAACGAGCGCAACCCUUAUCCUCUGUUGCCAGCACUUCGGGUGGGAACUCAGGGGAGACUGCCGGUGAUAAACCGGAGGAAGGUGGGGAUGACGUCAAGUCAUCAUGGCCCUUACGAGUAGGGCUACACACGUGCUACAAUGGCGCAUACAAAGAGAAGCGACCUCGCGAGAGCAAGCGGACCUCAUAAAGUGCGUCGUAGUCCGGAUUGGAGUCUGCAACUCGACUCCAUGAAGUCGGAAUCGCUAGUAAUCGUAGAUCAGAAUGCUACGGUGAAUACGUUCCCGGGCCUUGUACCCACCGCCCGUCACACCAUGGGAGUGGGUUGCAAAAGAAGUACCUAGCUUAACCU
Molecule: ribosomal RNA, 1413 nt
Filed under: Dickeya dadantii
Lineage: Bacteria; Pseudomonadati; Pseudomonadota; Gammaproteobacteria; Enterobacterales; Pectobacteriaceae
Description: bacterial SSU rRNA
Rfam family: Bacterial small subunit ribosomal RNA
Source: RNAcentral